CGGAGGGGGCUAGCGUUGUUCGGAAUUACUGGGCGUAAAGCGCACGUAGGCGGCUUUGUAAGUUAGAGGUGAAAGCCUGGUGCUCAACACCAGAACUGCCUUUAAGACUGCAUCGCUUGAAUCAUGGAGAGGCGGGUGGAAUUCCGAGUGUAGAGGUGAAAUUCGUAGAUAUUCGGAAGAACACCAGUGGCGAAGGCGGCCCGCUGGACAUGUAUUGACGCUGAGGUGCGAAAGCGUGGGGAGCAAACAGGAUU
RNAcentral lists this ribosomal RNA (254 nucleotides) under uncultured bacterium. RNAcentral describes it as "partial 16S ribosomal RNA". It matches the Rfam family "Bacterial small subunit ribosomal RNA", at positions 526 to 779 of the family's 1533-position model. The record is from RNAcentral.